This 496-nucleotide ribosomal RNA is filed under the name uncultured Glomeromycotina. RNAcentral's name for it is "partial small subunit ribosomal RNA". It matches the Rfam family "Eukaryotic small subunit ribosomal RNA", at positions 591 to 1091 of the family's 1831-position model. Lineage: Eukaryota; Fungi; Glomeromycota. The record is from RNAcentral.
CCAAUAGCGUAUAUUAAAGUUGUUGCAGUUAAAAAGCUCGUAGUUGAAUUUCGGGAUCAGUAUGUUGGUCGUGCUUCGGUACGUACUGUCAUUACUGGUUUCUACUUUCUGAAGAACCUUGAUGUCAUUAAUUUGGUGUCUUGGGGAAUCAGGACUGUUACUUUGAAAAAAUUAGAGUGUUUAAAGCAAGCAUACGCUUGAAUACAUUAGCAUGGAAUAAUGAAAUAGGACGUUUGAUUCUAUUUUGUUGGUUUCUAGGAUCGACGUAAUGAUUAAUAGGGAUAGUUGGGGGCAUUAGUAUUCAAUUGUCAGAGGUGAAAUUCUUGGAUUUAUUGAAGACUAACUACUGCGAAAGCAUUUGCCAAGGAUGUUUUCAUUAAUCAAGAACGAAAGUUAGGGGAUCGAAGACGAUCAGAUACCGUCGUAGUCUUAACCAUAAACUAUGCCGACUAGGGAUCGGAUGAUGUUAUUUUUAAUGACUCAUUCGGCGCCUUAC